Molecule: long non-coding RNA, 1347 nt
Organism: Xiphophorus couchianus (Monterrey platyfish)
Lineage: Eukaryota; Metazoa; Chordata; Actinopteri; Cyprinodontiformes; Poeciliidae
Exons: 3
Source: RefSeq, a predicted model, not a curated record
UUUCGUUUGUUUGCUUCAGCCUCAAGUUUGUAUUCAGAAAGAGAUGCACCAAGAGAUUGGCACUGCUUGUUGGGUUCAUGAAUCUCUUUCACUGUUUUUUCGAGGAUCCGCAUUAGAGAUGUUAGGGAACCACUGGGGUCACAAGUGUCAACUAUGUUCUAACUUUGCUUUUGUCUUAAAACAGUUUUAAAAGCCCAUUUUUUUCUCAGAAACUUCCCUCACACAGAAGUACAAUGAGGUUGCCUCUGGUCUUUUGUAAGUUCAGCUCAAAACAUGAGGAUAUCCAAAAAUGCUCACUAUUUUUUGUCACUUAUAUUAGAAUGAAACUAAUAUGUUGCAUAGAUUUAUUACAGGUUGAAAUAUUUCAAGUUUUUACUUCUAGUAAAUCAGAAGCCAUAAUCUUACUGAAUGCAUGAAUUACUACAUUGAUGUUGCAUUGAGGUGAUUAACCUGUGGUACUGCUGAGGAGUGGUGAAAGUUAGUGGUGAUUUUUAUUAUCUGAUCAUUAGCAUAAUAAACAACAAAUAAAGCCCUGAUGUAUUUCACUCUGUGUUCAAUGAAGUGAUGAGUUUCAGAUUCUGAUUCAGAUAUAAGCUCGGUUUGGCAGGAACGACCACAAAUUUGACUGUCUGGGAGUCGCCAUUGAGAUGUACCAGCGAGACUCUAAGGCAGGCAUAAAACAAGCAUUAUCUGAACUGGUUCCCCCUUUACUGCCGCUAGAUGGCUGGCUAUCUCAAAUUCUCUUGGAUGUCAUGUGAACAAGUUGCUCUGGUCGCACUCCCGUACCCUUCCCAUGACAUCUGUGGAUCUGACCCAAAGCGCUAGCAAGCAAACAAACAGGCUCUUGCUGUUUGUUUGCCUUUUCUUUGGAUGGGCUGUACUGAAACGAAAUUUUGUUGUGCUUCUGUACAAUGACAUUAAAGGCAUUCUGAUUCUGAAAUAAGUGACAAAAGGAUCAAAUGCAGUCAGAAUUUUGAAUUUAUUUAAAUUUAUUGUUUUUUUACUUGUAAGUAAUUUGAUCUUUUAUAGCAGAAAGACUAGAAAAUGUACAGUGCUAAUCCAAUAUUCUGGUUGAUAUACCUACAUUUAACUAAAAUAAGUAAAAAAUUUGUAGCACUUUCUUUUGUUUGUUUCAGUUGUGAAGUCUAACUACAGUUAACAGAAUAAGUUUUUGGCAGUUUUGUUUAUUAUAGUUUGGUUCCACUGCUUUUUACAUAUUAAGUCGUUAAUUCAAAAAUUCAAAAACACUUUCUUGAUCCCAAAGGGAAAGUCAAUAAAUAAAAUGACCUCAGAGAAUGAAUUUUCUGCACAAACCUGACAUGAUUGAUUUAUUUUUUUUCCCACUCC